This 253-nucleotide ribosomal RNA is filed under the name uncultured bacterium. RNAcentral describes it as "partial 16S ribosomal RNA". It matches the Rfam family "Bacterial small subunit ribosomal RNA", at positions 524 to 776 of the family's 1533-position model. The record is from RNAcentral.
UACGGAGGGAGCUAGCGUCGUUCGGAAUUGCUGGGCGUAAAGCGCACGUAGGCGGCUUUGUAAGUUAGAGGUGAAAGCCUGGGGCUCAACCCCAGAAUUGCCUUUAAGACUGCAUCGCUUGAAUCCAGGAGAGGUGAGUGGAAUUCCGAGUGUAGAGGUGAAAUUCGUAGAUAUUCGGAAGAACACCAGUGGCGAAGGCGGCUCACUGGCUCGUAUCUGACGCUCAGGCGCGACAGCGUGGGUAUCAAACAGG